This is a long non-coding RNA of Haliotis rubra (blacklip abalone), 1082 nucleotides long. RefSeq lists it as uncharacterized. The record is from RefSeq and is a predicted model, not a curated record. The transcript is spliced from 3 exons. NCBI's taxonomy places the organism in Eukaryota, Metazoa, Mollusca, Gastropoda, Lepetellida, Haliotidae.
UUUUCUUAUGUGAUACAAAAUAUACUUAACCAACAUUUUAAAAAAGAUAUUUAUAUUUUAUAACAGAUAGAACACAUUUAUUUUGGAUUUCACCUUCAAGAUUCAUUCAUGACACCAUUUGUUAUGUUGUUGAUCACGAGAGGGAAGAUCGAAAUCUUAACUCUCUUAGGACCUAAUCAUCUGGAAUUGUUUCUUUUACAUAGCAAAAAUGUUCUUCAAAACUUCUUUUCUAACGUCUAACCUUUAUUUUCCGUAUUCAUCCACAAAUGAGGAAGGGGAGUUUACGACAACAGUAGAUUGACAGAUACGCUUUACGAUGAUUAGGGGUAUUUUUCGGCCUGUUACUGCUUUCUAUACAGGGCAAUUACAAAGAACUGUUCGUCUUUCUAUGUGCCGAUGCAUCCAGUUGAGCUCAGUUCAUACAGUCGCCGGUGUUUGUGAUGCACCCACUUGGGUUCAGUUCAUGCAGUCAGCGUUAUUUCCAAUGUACCCGCACGGGUUCUGUUGUUUGAUGUAUCCACUUAAGAUAGGUUCACACGGUUGGUGUUGUUUCUGAUGCAUCCAUGUGGGUUAAGUUCAUACAUAUAACAUUGUUUCUUAUACAUCCACAUGGGUUCUGUUCGGGCAGUAAGCGUAGUUUCUAAUGCAUCCCCGUGGGUUCUGUUCAUACAGCUAGUGUUGUUUCUAAUGAACUCACUUGAGCUGAGUUCAGACAGUUGCCGUUGUUUCUGAUGUAUCCACAUAGGUUCAGUUCAUAGUGCACGUGAAUACACACAGGUUCACUGCAUUCGCUCAGUAAUGUGUCAGGUUCCUGCUCAUGUACAUUAUCUUCAGGUAAGAACUCUCAACUCAUAUACAUAAGCUUCGGGUGACACAAGGUUCUUGCUCAUUAACAUUAUCUUCAGGUAAGAACUCUCGGCUCAUAUACAUAAGCUCCGGGUGACACAAGGUUCCUGCUUGUGUACAUAAUCUUACACAUAAUCACAAUAAUAAAUAAUCUCCAGGUGAGAAGGUUCGUGCUCGCAUACAUAGUCUUCAGGUAUGGGAAGGUCUCCCCUCAUAUACAUAAUCACCAGCUGAGA